This 324-nucleotide ribosomal RNA is filed under the name uncultured eukaryote. RNAcentral's name for it is "partial 18S ribosomal RNA". It matches the Rfam family "Eukaryotic small subunit ribosomal RNA", at positions 1470 to 1796 of the family's 1831-position model. The record is from RNAcentral.
CCCUUAGAUGUCCUGGGCUGCACGCGCGCUACACUGAUGUGUCCAGUAAGCACCUAACCUAUUCCGAGAGGAGCGGGUAACCUUAGCAAAGCACAUCGUGAUGGGGAUAGAUUAUUGCAAUUAUUAGUCUUGAACGAGGAAUCCCUAGUAAGCACAAGUCAUCAGCUUGUGUUGAUUACGUCCCUGCCCUUUGUACACACCGCCCGUCGCUCCUACCGAUUGAAUGUUCCGGUGAGCUCUUCGGACUGCGCGGUCUGCAGUUUCUGCGUUCCGUGCGGAAAGUUGUGCAAACCUUAACAUUUAGAGGAAGGAGAAGUCGUAACA